This 751-nucleotide ribosomal RNA is filed under the name Tetraedron minimum. RNAcentral describes it as "SSU rRNA". Lineage: Eukaryota; Viridiplantae; Chlorophyta; Chlorophyceae; Sphaeropleales; Sphaeropleaceae. The record is from RNAcentral.
GCUCGUAGUUGGAUUUCGGGUGGGUUCUAGCGGUCCGCCUAUGGUGAGUACUGCUAUGGCCCUCCUUUCUGCCGGGGACGGUCUCCUGGGCUUCACUGUCCGGGAACUGGAGUCGGCGUUGUUACUUUGAGUAAAUUAGAGUGUUCAAAGCAGGCAUACGCCCUGAAUACUUUAGCAUGGAAUAACACGAUAGGACUCUGGCCUAUCUUGUUGGUCUGUAGGACCGGAGUAAUGAUUAAGAGGGACAGUCGGGGGCAUUCGUAUUUCAUUGUCAGARGUGAAAUUCUUGGAUUUAUGAAAGACGAACUACUGCGAAAGCAUUUGCCAAGGAUGUUUUCAUUAAUCAAGAACGAAAGUUGGGGGCUCGAAGACGAUUAGAUACCGUCGUAGUCUCAACCAUAAACGAUGCCGACUAGGGAUUGGCGGAUGUUUUUUUGAUGACUCCGCCAGCACCUUAUGAGAAAUCAAAGUUUUUGGGUUCCGGGGGGAGUAUGGUCGCAAGGCUGAAACUUAAAGGAAUUGACGGAAGGGCACCACCAGGCGUUGAGUAUUGGCUCUAGCGCCUAAAGUCUCCCUGAAAGGGGAGGCUAGUCGGUAGUGGCUCGCUAAUGGUGAGAGCCGCUACACGGCUACACUGUCGAAUUGCGGGAAGUUCCUUAGAGCUCAAGCUACCAAGCUAGGGUGGAAACACACCUAGUGGCCAGGGUAAUGACCUCGGGUACGGUAAAAACGCUUGAGAUUGGAUAACCCG